CACCAGCGCCGCAAGUGGGGAUCACAUUUAUUUGGCCUAAAGCGUUCGUAGCCGGCUCGUUAAAUCUCUUGUGAAAUCGUGCGAUUCAACCGCACGGCGUGCAGGAGAGACUGGCGAGCUAGGGAUUGGGAGGAGUCAGGAGUAUGGAUAGGGGAGCAGUAAAAUGCUAUAAUCCUUUUCAGACUACCGGUGGCGAAGGCGCCUGACCAGAACAAAUCCGACGGUGAGGGACGAAAGCUAGGGGAGCAAUCCGG
Molecule: ribosomal RNA, 254 nt
Filed under: uncultured bacterium
Lineage: Bacteria
Description: partial 16S ribosomal RNA
Rfam family: Archaeal small subunit ribosomal RNA
Source: RNAcentral